CGCUCUUGUUGCAAAUUGUUUUGGUCAAUGUUUUAUAUCAAAACCUAGACGAUAAAGCGUUUAUAGCGCUUGAUUUUAAAAAAAUAUCGUCGCACGCUCCCGAUCAUAGGGAAAUCAAUACAAAAAUAUUGUCCGACCGAUUUUGAAGAAAAUCAGACUCUCUAAACGUGUUAUCUUCUCGGUUAUGAAAUAAUACAUUGACCAGAAUGAUUCUCAACAAGAGCAAAAAAGAGUUUUCCAACGAAAACGUAAAGCAGAGAAAAUAUAGCAAUUUUUAGUUUUAUUGCAGUCAAAUUAGAUUACUCAAAUUUGUAUACGAUUUGUAUACGCGACAUAGGGAAAAAUUUCAAACAUGGAUAUUUUCCGUUCUAGGUCGAAAUUUAAAAAUGCCCACGGCAAAGUUUUAGAUUUUAAUGUGCUGCAUCAUAAUCUUUUGGUUUUAAAUUAAAAAAGUUAAAAUUGAAUCUCACGGAAGCCCGAGAAGACGGCAAUAUUUUCUAGCUCGCCUUG
Non-coding RNA from Paramuricea clavata, 510 nucleotides. NCBI's taxonomy places the organism in Eukaryota, Metazoa, Cnidaria, Anthozoa, Malacalcyonacea, Plexauridae. The record is from the annotation of a GenBank genome assembly.